UCGGCGCUCCUUCCGUCUCUCCUGUAAACACCUAUCCCUCCUUCGGCGGUGACUCACUCUGGUAAGGCCUCCCUCGGCACUCACUCUCUAUCGCAAACCCUCUAUCGACGCUCACUCUCUCUCGCAAACCCUCAAUCGUCACUCCUCCCUCCAUGGUUCAGCACCCGCCACGUUGCCGUCUCCCUCUCUGAAGUCAUCGCGCCGCCGUCUCCAUCUUCUUCACUCGUCGCACCUCCGUCAGCCACGUUCAGCGUUCGCAGCACUGUGGACAUUUAAGAGGCACAUGCAGGGCAAAUAGUUGCUGUAUUUGGUGUUGAUUGUGCAUCAGGUUCGUCUUUUGUCCUUGCCCUAACCUAUUGAUGUCUGGAAUCCUAUAUUGUACCUUUAUUUAUUCAAGAUUUAAUUAAGGGUCUUGUUAACAAGUGUUAAGGCACUUGCUAAGAAUACUAUAAGAACAAGUAAAUGUUAAUUUUUUUAAUUUUUCUGUGCACUUAAUGCAAACCAAAACUUUUCUAUUUUCUCUCUUAACCAAUUCCCAUAGGAAACUCUUAAGUUAAAUCUUUUAAAUUAAUUUGUAAGGCUCUAAUUGUAUAGUUU
Non-coding RNA from Arachis ipaensis, 597 nucleotides. Lineage: Eukaryota; Viridiplantae; Streptophyta; Magnoliopsida; Fabales; Fabaceae. The record is from RefSeq and is a predicted model, not a curated record.